This 479-nucleotide ribosomal RNA is filed under the name uncultured bacterium. RNAcentral's name for it is "bacterial SSU rRNA". It matches the Rfam family "Bacterial small subunit ribosomal RNA", at positions 28 to 518 of the family's 1533-position model. The record is from RNAcentral.
GACGAACGCUGGCGGCGUGCUUAACACAUGCAAGUCGAACGAUGAACAGGGAGCUUGCUCCUUGGGAUUAGUGGCGAACGGGUGAGUAACACGUGAGCAAUCUGCCCCCGACUCUGGGAUAAGCGCUGGAAACGGCGUCUAAUACCGGAUACGACAACCGAUGGCAUCUUCUGGUUGUGGAAAGAAUUUCGGUUGGGGAUGAGCUCGCGGCCUAUCAGCUAGUUGGUGAGGUAACGGCUCACCAAGGCGACGACGGGUAGCCGGCCUGAGAGGGUGACCGGCCACACUGGGACUGAGACACGGCCCAGACUCCUACGGGAGGCAGCAGUGGGGAAUAUUGGACAAUGGGCGAAAGCCUGAUCCAGCAACGCCGCGUGAGGGAUGACGGCCUUCGGGUUGUAAACCUCUUUCAGCAGGGACGAAGCGAAAGUGACGGUACCUGCAGAAGAAGCGCCGGCCAACUACGUGCCAGCAGCCGC